Molecule: long non-coding RNA, 2049 nt
Filed under: Homo sapiens (human)
Lineage: Eukaryota; Metazoa; Chordata; Mammalia; Primates; Hominidae
Description: non-protein coding lnc-TYMP-1:3
Rfam family: Metazoan signal recognition particle RNA (bases 1666-1813)
Source: RNAcentral
AGUGGACCGCUGUGCGCGAACCCUGAACCCUACGGUCCCGACCCGCGGGCGAGGCCGGGUACCUGGGCUGGGAUCCGGAGCAAGCGGGCGAGGGCAGCGCCCUAAGCAGGCAUCCCCGCAGGCCCGGAGCGAUGGCAGCCUUGAUGACCCCGGGAACCGGGGCCCCACCCGCGCCUGGUGACUUCUCCGGGGAAGGGAGCCAGGGACUUCCCGACCCUUCGCCAGAGCCCAAGCAGCUCCCGGAGCUGAUCCGCAUGAAGCGAGACGGAGGCCGCCUGAGCGAAGCGGACAUCAGGGGCUUCGUGGCCGCUGUGGUGAAUGGGAGCGCGCAGGGCGCACAGAUCGGUGCGUGGGGAGGGUUGGGCGUUCCUGACCCCGACUGGGAGGUCAGCCCGAGAGACUUUGGGUCCCUGGGGGUGCGACGGUGCCCCACUACCAGCACCGGCCCCAGGGUGCCCCACCGCUGUGGGCUGCCACCCUCACGCGUACCCCCACAUACCAGGGGCCAUGCUGAUGGCCAUCCGACUUCGGGGCAUGGAUCUGGAGGAGACCUCGGUGCUGACCCAGGCCCUGGCUCAGUCGGGACAGCAGCUGGAGUGGCCAGAGGCCUGGCGCCAGCAGCUUGUGGACAAGCAUUCCACAGGGGGUGUGGGUGACAAGGUCAGCCUGGUCCUCGCACCUGCCCUGGCGGCAUGUGGCUGCAAGGUUAGAAACCACCUCCUUUCCAGACGGGAGCCUAUACCGCACAUGCAGCAACCAGUCCAUCCACAGGCAGCUCCCAACCUCAAGCCUGGCCCAAAGCCUCCAAGACCCUACCAAGGCUUCUCCCCACCCUGCUCCCCAGCACAGUUCUCCCCACCCCGUUCCCCAGCACAGCGCUUGGGGCCCCUCUGGCUCCAGACCAGGCCCCUUGGAGCAGGAAAAAGAUCCACUGAUGGAAUUCAGACCCCUUUCCCCUUGGGUCCCCAGACAGCUCCCCCAAGGGAGGAGCUGAGGACUUUCCUCCCUCUGCCCCAAGCCUUGUUUCCCCAAGGACAGGUACCAACCUCCUCCCCUACUGACACUUCUCAACCAAGAAAACUUCCUUUCCAUUCCCUCACCAGCUGGGCACCCCUAUAGCUGCUUAAAUACUUUCCAAAUCCAGCUGCACUCCUAGCCAGGGAAGGUGAAGGGAUGCACAGAGGUGGGGGAGGGGUACUGUGCAGGGUACUCAGCAUCCCUGACCACCAGGUGCCAAUGAUCAGCGGACGUGGUCUGGGGCACACAGGAGGCACCUUGGAUAAGCUGGAGUCUAUUCCUGGAUUCAAUGUCAUCCAGAGCCCAGAGCAGGUACGGGGCGCCACGGAUCAGUCAUUAAUCCAGGUUGAUGAUGGAGACCCUGGCCAGAAUCACUAAAAGAUCACUGGUGGAUCAUUAGGGUCACUAAUGAGAACACUGGUCAAGGUUACUCAUGAGUCACUGGGCCUGGGCCGAAAUCAUCAGUGGAACUUUGAUUAGGAUCAUAAAAUGGGAAGUUGGUCAAAAUCACAGAUGGCUGGCGGGGCACGGUGGCUCACACCUGUAGUCCUAGCACUUGGGGAGGCCGAAGAGGGCAGAUCCCUUGAACCCAGGAGUUCAAAACCAGCCUGGAUAACACGGCAAAACCCCAUCUCUACAAAAUAGUUCGCUGCGUGUGGUGGUGCACGCAUGUGGUUCCAGCUACUCAGGAGGCUGAGGCAGGAGGAUCACUUGAGCCUGGGAGGUCUAGGCUGCAGUGAGCCGGGACGAUGCCACUGCACUCCAGCCUGGGCAACAGAGUGAGACCCUGUCCCAGCACUCUGGGAGGCAGAGGAGCCCAGUUGGAGAUCAGCCUGGGUAAUAUAGUGAAACUUGAUCUCUACAAAAAAAAGAAGAAAAAAAAAAGCCGCGUGUGGUGGUGCGCACCUGUAGUCCCAGCUACUGGGAAGCUGAGGUGGGAGGAUCACUUAAGCCCAGGAGGCAGAGGUCACAAUGAGCCGAAAUUGUGCCAACUGCACUCCAGCCUGGGCAACAGAGGAAGACUCUUCACAG